AAAAAAGAAAGAGAAAACAAUGAAAAGUUGAUUGUUGCGUUUUUAACAUUUCUCGCCAUCUCUUUUUUUUUGGUUUUCCUGGAGCACUUUUUUUUCACCGAAACUGACAGCUGUCCGCAGUCAAACUGAAACAACAAGAAGGCUUGAUUUCAAAG
This 155-nucleotide non-coding RNA is filed under the name Ditylum brightwellii. The record is from RNAcentral. Lineage: Eukaryota; Bacillariophyta; Thalassiosirophyceae; Lithodesmiales; Lithodesmiaceae.